Molecule: ribosomal RNA, 395 nt
Filed under: uncultured archaeon
Lineage: Archaea
Description: bacterial SSU rRNA
Rfam family: Archaeal small subunit ribosomal RNA
Source: RNAcentral
UAAUGUUUAAGUACACGUGGAUAACCUAACCUUAGGACUGGAAUAACCCCGGGAAACUGGGGACAAUGCCAGAUAUGUGGGGCUGCCUGGAAUGGUACCUCAUUGAAAUGCUCCGGCGCCUAAGGAUGGAUCUGCGGCAGAUUAGGUAGUUGGCGGGGUAAAUGCCCACCAAGCCAGUAAUCUGUACGGGUUGUGAGAGCAAGAGCCCGGAGAUGGAACCUGAGACAAGGUUCCAGGCCCUACGGGGCACAGCAGGCGCGAAACCUCCGCAAUGCGAGCAAUCGCGACGGGGGAAACCCAAGUACCACUCUUAACGGGGUGGUUUUUCUGAAGUGUAAAAAGCUUCAGGAAUAAGAGCUGGGCAAGACCGGUGCCAGCAGCCGCGGUAAAUACAA